This 486-nucleotide ribosomal RNA is filed under the name uncultured bacterium. RNAcentral's name for it is "partial 16S ribosomal RNA". It matches the Rfam family "Bacterial small subunit ribosomal RNA", at positions 28 to 507 of the family's 1533-position model. The record is from RNAcentral.
AUUGAACGCUGGCGGCAUGCCUUACACAUGCAAGUCGAACGGCAGCACGGGUGCUUGCGCGUGGUGGCGAGUGGCGAACGGGUGCGUGAUACAUCGGAACAUGUCCUGUGGUGGGGGUUAGCGCGGCGAAAGCCGGCUUAAUACCGCGUACGACCCCCGGGCGAUAGAGGGGGCCCAUCGGGGCUCGCGCUGUCGGGUUGGCGGAGAGCUGAUUAGGUAGGUGGGGGGGGGAAGGCCUACCAAGGCGACGAUCAGUAGCUGGUCUGAGGGGACGACCAGCCACACUGGGACUGAGACACGGCCCAGACUCCUACGGGAGGCAGCAGUGGGGAAUUUUGGACAAUGGGCGAAAGCCUGAUCCAGCAAUGCCGCGUGUGUGAAGAAGGCCUUCGGGUUGUAAAGCACUUUUGUCCGGAAAGAAAUCCUUGGCUCUAAUACAGUCGGGGGAUGACGGUACCGGAAGAAUAAGCACCGGCUAACUACGUG